Molecule: long non-coding RNA, 299 nt
Filed under: Homo sapiens (human)
Lineage: Eukaryota; Metazoa; Chordata; Mammalia; Primates; Hominidae
Description: non-protein coding lnc-FAM47A-3:2
Source: RNAcentral
AUGCUUUGGUGGGAAGAAGUAGAGGACUGUAUGAAAGAGAAGAUGUUCAAAAGAAAACAUUCACAAAAUGGGUAAAUGCACAAUUUUCUAAGCUACUCAAAAAGAGAUUGAGAAACAGAAGGUGCACCUGAAGAGUAUCACAGAGGUAGGAGAGGCCUUGAAAACAGUUUUGGGCAAGAAGGAGACGUUGGUGGAAGAUAAACUCAGUCUUCUGAAUAGUAACUGGAUAGCUGUCACCUCCCGAGCAGAAGAGUGGUUAAAUCUUUUGUUGAAUACCAGAAACACAUGGAAACUUUUGA